This 240-nucleotide ribosomal RNA is filed under the name uncultured bacterium. RNAcentral's name for it is "partial small subunit ribosomal RNA". It matches the Rfam family "Bacterial small subunit ribosomal RNA", at positions 26 to 280 of the family's 1533-position model. The record is from RNAcentral.
AGGACGAACGCUGGCGGCGUGCUUAACACAUGCAAGUCGAACGAGGUGCUUGCACCUAGUGGCGAACGGGUGAGUAACACGUGAGCAACCUGCCCUUGGCUCUGGGAUAGCCUCCGGAAACGGGGAUUAAUACCGGACAUGACCUUGGUCUGCAUGGACUGAGGUGGAAAGUUUUUCGGCCAGGGAUGGGCUCGCGGCCUAUCAGCUUGUUGGGGGGGUAACGCCCACCAAGGCGACGAC